GGGGGGGGAGGGUUGUUCCUCAGCCUGGAUUGUGAGAGGGCUCAGGCCAGGCCGAGGGACCCCUCUGGUGCAUG
This 74-nucleotide microRNA precursor is filed under the name Myotis brandtii (Brandt's bat). RNAcentral describes it as "mir-9193 microRNA precursor family". It matches the Rfam family "mir-9193 microRNA precursor family". The record is from Rfam by way of RNAcentral. Lineage: Eukaryota; Metazoa; Chordata; Mammalia; Chiroptera; Vespertilionidae.